Ictalurus punctatus (channel catfish) is the source of this 736-nucleotide long non-coding RNA. The record is from Ensembl. NCBI's taxonomy places the organism in Eukaryota, Metazoa, Chordata, Actinopteri, Siluriformes, Ictaluridae.
UGUGUGUGUGAGAGUGUGUGUGUGAGAGAGAGAGAGAGAGAGAGAGAGAGUGUACUGUGUGAGAGUGUGUAUGAGAGUGUGUGUGAGUGUGUGAGAGUGUGUACAGUGUGAGAGUGUGUGUGGGAGUGUGUGUGUGUGAGAGAGAGAGAGAGAGUGUGUGUGAGAGUGUGUAUGAGAGUGUGUGUGAGAGAGAGAGUGUGUACAGUGUGAGAGUGUGUAUGAGAGUGUGUGUGUGUGUGUAUGAGAGUGUGUGUGUGAGACAGAGUGUGUACAGUGUGAGAGUGUGUAUGAGAGUGUGUGUGUGUGUGUAUGAGAGUGUGUGUGUGAGACAGAGUGUGUACAGUGUGAGAGUGUGUGUGGGAGUGUGUGUGUGUGUGUGUGUGUGUGAGAGAGAGAGAGUGUGUGUAUGAGAGUGUGUAUAGUAUGAGAGUGUGUGUGAGAGUGUGUAUGAGAGUGUGUGUGAGAGUGUGUAUGAGAGUGUGUAUAGUAUGAGAGUGUGUGUGAGAGUGUGUAUGAGAGUUGGUACAGUAUGAGCGUGUGUGUGAGAGUGAGAGUAUGUGUGUGUGUGUAUAUGUGAGAGAGAGUGUGUAUGAGAGUAUGUGUGUGUGUAUGUUGUGUGUAUGAGAGAGUCUGUGUGUGUGUAUGUUGUGUGUGAGAGUGAGAGUAUGUGUGUGUGUAUGUUGUGUGUGAGAGUGAGAGUAUGUGUGUGUGUAUGUUGUGUGUGAGAGUGAGAGUG